RNAcentral lists this non-coding RNA (29 nucleotides) under Cricetulus griseus (Chinese hamster). The record is from RNAcentral. Lineage: Eukaryota; Metazoa; Chordata; Mammalia; Rodentia; Cricetidae.
UCAGUCGGUAGAGCAUCAGACUUUUAAUC